UCGUGGGUGAUUAGCACAUUGU
RNAcentral lists this non-coding RNA (22 nucleotides) under Arabidopsis thaliana (thale cress). The record is from RNAcentral. Lineage: Eukaryota; Viridiplantae; Streptophyta; Magnoliopsida; Brassicales; Brassicaceae.